GACGAACGCUGGCGGCGUGCUUAACACAUGCAAGUCGAACGGAAAGGCCCCUUUGGGGGUACUCGAGUGGCGAACGGGUGAGUAACACGUGAGUAACCUGCCCUUGACUUCGGGAUAACUUCAGGAAACUGGGGCUAAUACCGGAUAGGAAUCCUUGCUGCAUGGUGGGGGUUGGAAAGCUUCGGCGGUUUUGGAUGGACUCGCGGGUUAUCAGCUUGUUGGUGGGGUAGUGGCUUACCAAGGCUUUGACGGGUAGCCGGCCUGAGAGGGCGACCGGCCACAUUGGGACUGAGAUGCGGCCCAGACUCGUACGGGAGGCAGCAGUGGGGAAUAUUGCACAAGGGGCGGAGGCCUGAUGCAGCAACGCCGCGUGCGGGAUGACGGCCUUCGGGUUGUAAACCGCUUUCAGCAGGGGCGAAGCUUGUGGUGACGGUACCUGCAGAAGAAGCACCGGCUAACUACGUG
RNAcentral lists this ribosomal RNA (465 nucleotides) under uncultured bacterium. RNAcentral's name for it is "partial 16S ribosomal RNA". It matches the Rfam family "Bacterial small subunit ribosomal RNA", at positions 28 to 507 of the family's 1533-position model. The record is from RNAcentral.